RNAcentral lists this ribosomal RNA (858 nucleotides) under uncultured bacterium. Its description in RNAcentral is "bacterial SSU rRNA". It matches the Rfam family "Bacterial small subunit ribosomal RNA", at positions 524 to 1381 of the family's 1533-position model. The record is from RNAcentral.
UACGUAGGCUGCGAGCGUUAUCCGGAAUUACUGGGCGUAAAGAGAUGCGUAGGCGUCCAAACUAGUCUUUAAUUAAAGGCACAAGCUCAACUUGUGUAUGGUUAGGGAAACUGUUUGGAUUGAGGGAGACAGGGGAAGAUGGAACUUCUGGUGGAGUAGUGAAAUGCGUUGAUAUCAGAAGGAACACCAAAAGCGAAGGCAAUCUUCUAGGUCUUUUCUGACGCUAAGGCUCGAAAGCGUGGGUAGCAAAACGGAUUAGAUACCCGUGUAGUCCACGCUGUAAACGAUGGAUGCUAGAUAUUUGUAUUGGUAGGAUUUAUCCUAUAAAUAUGAGUGUCGCAGCUAACGCAAUAAGCAUCCCGCCUGGGGAGUACGACCGCAAGGUUAAAACUCAAAGGAAUUGACGGGGACCCGCACAAGCAGUGGAUCGCGUGGUUUAAUUCGAUGCUAAUCGUAAAACCUUACCAGGGUUUGACAUGUUAGAGAAUCCGCCUGAAAGGGUGGAGUGCCGCAAGGAACUCUUUCACAGGUUCUGCAUGGCUGUCGUCAGCUCGUGUCGUGAGAUGUUGGGUUAAGUCCCGCAACGAGCGCAACCUUUAUCUGGUGUUAUAAUUUCUCCAGAAACUGCACCGUUACAACGGUGAGGAAGGUGAAGAUGAUGUCUAGUCAUCAUAGACCUUAUGUCCUGGGCAACACACGCGAUACAAUGGGAAAGACAAUGAGUCGCAACAUCGUAAGGUGAAGCUAAUCUCCUAAACUUUUUCUCAGUUCGGAUUGAGGGCUGCAAUUUGCCCUCAUGAAGUCGGAAUUGCUAGUAAUCGCGGAUCAGCAUGCCGCGGUGAAUACGUUCUCGGGUCU